GACAGAGGUGCCGAGCGUUAGGCGGAAUCACUGGGCUUAAAGCGUGUGUAGGCGGACGGGUAAGUACCUUGUGAAAUCCCACGGCUCAACCGUGGAACUGCUGGGUAUACUGCCUGGCUUGAGUCAUCUAGGGGCGAGCGGAACAAAUGGUGGAGCGGUGAAAUGCGUAGAUAUCAUUUGGAACGCCAAUGGUGAAAACAGCUCGCUGGGGAUGUACUGACGCUGAGACACGAAAGCCAGGGGAGCAAACGGG
This 253-nucleotide ribosomal RNA is filed under the name uncultured bacterium. RNAcentral's name for it is "partial 16S ribosomal RNA". It matches the Rfam family "Bacterial small subunit ribosomal RNA", at positions 524 to 776 of the family's 1533-position model. The record is from RNAcentral.